RNAcentral lists this non-coding RNA (30 nucleotides) under Mus musculus (house mouse). The record is from RNAcentral. Lineage: Eukaryota; Metazoa; Chordata; Mammalia; Rodentia; Muridae.
UAUCAAUAGGCCUGGGACCAAUCUACCCAU